Molecule: ribosomal RNA, 830 nt
Filed under: Hyalessa maculaticollis
Lineage: Eukaryota; Metazoa; Arthropoda; Insecta; Hemiptera; Cicadidae
Description: SSU rRNA
Rfam family: Eukaryotic small subunit ribosomal RNA
Source: RNAcentral
AGCCAUGCAAGUCUCAGUACAUGCCGCACUAAGGUGAAACCGCAAAAGGCUCAUUAAAUCAGUUAUGGUUCCUUGGAUCUUAAACAGUUACUUGGAUAACUGUGGUAAUUCUAGAGCUAAUACAUGCAAACAAGUCCCGACCAGAGAUGGGAGGGACGCUUUUAUUAGAUCAAAACCGAUCGGCGUCCGGCUCCGGCCGGCGCCGUCUCUUUUGGUGACUCUGGAUAACUUUUAGCCGAUCGCACGGUCACAGUACCGGCGACGCAUCUUUCAAAUGUCUGACUUAUCAACUGUCGAUGGUAGGCUCUGCGCCUACCAUGGUUGUAACGGGUAACGGGGAAUCAGGGUUCGAUUCCGGAGAGGGAGCCUGAGAAACGGCUACCACAUCCAAGGAAGGCAGCAGGCGCGCAAAUUACCCACUCCCGGCACGGGGAGGUAGUGACGAAAAAUAACGAUACGGGACUCAUCCGAGGCCCCGUAAUCGGAAUGAGUACACUUUAAAUACUUUAACGAGUACCAAUUGGAGGGCAAGUCUGGUGCCAGCAGCCGCGGUAAUUCCAGCUCCAAUAGCGUAUAUUAAAGUUGUUGCGGUUAAAAAGCUCGUAGUUGGAUCUGUGUGCCACGCUGUCGGUUCACCGCCUGUCGGUGUCAACUGGCAUGUCUGUGGGACGUCCUGCCGGUGGCGGUACGGGCUGCCGGCGCUGCGUAGGGGCUCGCCCCCGAAGCACGCCGGCGUGUCCCGGUCCGCCGAUCCAAUCCCGCCGCGGUGCUCUUCACUGAGUGUCGAGGUGGGCCGGCACGUUUACUUUGAACAAAUUAGAGUGCUCAAA